This 80-nucleotide microRNA precursor is filed under the name Mus spretus (western wild mouse). RNAcentral describes it as "microRNA 3089 (ENSMSPG00010047976.1)". The record is from RNAcentral. Lineage: Eukaryota; Metazoa; Chordata; Mammalia; Rodentia; Muridae.
GUGGCUUGCAACUGAGUUCAGGGACAGCGUGUCUCAGUUUCUCUGAGCAUCUGCUGAUCCUGAGCUGUGUUUUUAGCUGC